RNAcentral lists this ribosomal RNA (253 nucleotides) under uncultured bacterium. RNAcentral's name for it is "partial 16S ribosomal RNA". It matches the Rfam family "Bacterial small subunit ribosomal RNA", at positions 524 to 776 of the family's 1533-position model. The record is from RNAcentral.
UACGUAGGGUGCGAGCGUUAAUCGGAAUUACUGGGCGUAAAGCGUGCGCAGGCGGUGAUGUAAGACAGUUGUGAAAUCCCCGGGCUCAACCUGGGAACUGCAUCUGUGACUGCAUAGCUAGAGUACGGUAGAGGGGGAUGGAAUUCCGCGUGUAGCAGUGAAAUGCGUAGAUAUGCGGAGGAACACCGAUGGCGAAGGCAAUCCCCUGGACCUGUACUGACGCUCAUGCACGAAAGCGUGGGGAGCAAACAGG